Long non-coding RNA from Patella vulgata (common limpet), 615 nucleotides. RefSeq lists it as uncharacterized. NCBI's taxonomy places the organism in Eukaryota, Metazoa, Mollusca, Gastropoda, Patellidae. The record is from RefSeq and is a predicted model, not a curated record. The transcript has 4 exons.
UGUAUGAGAGUCAAGUGAUGUAUGGUUAUAAUCCCAGAAAUAUCGCAGUGACAUUUUAUUUUGCUACAUUAUUGAAAUUACAUUAUUUCGAUUUCGACGGUAUCAACAAAAUAAUAUGUUUUGAUGAGGCGUAUUAUUUUUUUUUUAUGAGCAACAACAGGAAGUCUAGUUUCCAACAUUCGGCCAUUAAUUUAUGAGCUGAACAAAAUCGGCACAGAGAAGAUAUUAAAUACGUUGACGUUGAAUUUAUUAUAAACAGCAAAAAUGAACCGAUUAAAGUUUGAAGUACACAACCCGGAAUCAUACAGAUGUUGUAUUUGUUGUCAUGUUCGAACAGGAACUCUGUUUCUUGGUCUUUUUUACUUGCUGGUACAGUUAUUCUGUGUCGGGUUACUGAUCAUGUUUUCAAUACGUCCAGAUAUCUUGGUACCUAAACCUGGAAGCUCUAUGAUGUCUGGUGGGAUAUUUGUGACUGAAAAUGAAGAUGGAACACAUAUUGAUACAUACACAGUGUUAGCCAGUAGAAAAUUCAGCAAAGAAGACAUGUGCGUUGCCUAUGGACUAACAGUUGCCUCUAUUUUAAUCACUGUAUCACUUCUUUAUGGUGUUAUAAGG